RNAcentral lists this long non-coding RNA (368 nucleotides) under Ananas comosus (pineapple). RNAcentral describes it as "long non-coding RNA (ACOM_LNC038906)". Lineage: Eukaryota; Viridiplantae; Streptophyta; Magnoliopsida; Poales; Bromeliaceae. The record is from RNAcentral.
ACUCUACCAUUCUGACCAUUCAAGAGUCUACGUUACCAUGCACAACUCUUCUUUACACUUACCAUUCCUGUCACGCCCCAUGCCCCGCCAAUUUGGUCGGGUUCGAGCACGCCGACAGACCGCCGAAUGGACAGAGUUUUUCCUGUACGUCCUAGACAUCGCAAUCAAUACCAUACAAGGGUUCCAACCAGGAACAGUAUUUAACAAUCAGAUUGCAUAGGGAAGUAUCAAAGACAUAAAACUACUUGCUAUUACAAGCAUUCACAUUCAAACAUUUUUACAUUACAUUCAACUCCCAAAUGCAAUUAAGUUAUUACAAUUUACUACCAGUUUAUUACAACUUUUACUUUUCCUUCCCUCUACCCCAA